AGCGUAGACGGUGUGGCAAGUCUGAUGUGAAAGGCAUGGGCUCAACCUGUGGACUGCAUUGGAAACUGUCAUGCUUGAGUGCCGGAGGGGUAAGCGGAAUUCCUAGUGUAGCGGUGAAAUGCGUAGAUAUUAGGAGGAACACCAGUGGCGAAGGCGGCUUACUGGACGGUAACUGACGUUGAGGCUGAAAGCGUGGGGAGCAAACA
RNAcentral lists this ribosomal RNA (206 nucleotides) under uncultured bacterium. RNAcentral's name for it is "partial 16S ribosomal RNA". It matches the Rfam family "Bacterial small subunit ribosomal RNA", at positions 568 to 774 of the family's 1533-position model. The record is from RNAcentral.